This is a long non-coding RNA of Papaver somniferum (opium poppy), 1848 nucleotides long. RefSeq lists it as uncharacterized. The record is from RefSeq and is a predicted model, not a curated record. Lineage: Eukaryota; Viridiplantae; Streptophyta; Magnoliopsida; Ranunculales; Papaveraceae. The transcript is spliced from 5 exons.
UCUUAUCUCCCCCAAAUCUCAUCCUUUGCUCUUUCUUCUUUGAUAAACCGAGAUCUCUAGAAAUCAAACUCAGUCUCUCAAAAUCGAGAGCUAUGUUUUCUAAACGCUCAUAUAUAUGAUAAAUCGAAACCAUAAUCAAACCCUAGGUUUACUUCAACGAGGGUGAGAAACCAAGCAUAGAGAAACCCUAGAUUUACUUCAACCUCCCAUUAUUAUACUGCAAUUUCUUGUUUUCUGAUACCAGGGAACUAAUUAUUGGAUGGAGAUAGAUUGGCGAAACGAACGGACAACAAAAGAUCAGAAAAUUGUCUGAUUUGGGUUUUUAUUCGUUUUCUCCUGAGUUUAGCUCUGAAGCUGGUGGGUCUGUAAUUGUUGGCGUUAUGUGUGGCUGUUGGCCGGUGUUUCUCGUGGUAGCUUUGGUGUUACUGGAGGUGUAGGUGGUUUGGUUACCUAGGCUUGAUUUUAGGAAUGCUUCUUGAUGAUGGUUGCAUUUUUAACUUAUAUGUAUGGUUUAAUUUGUAUGGUGGUUGUGCAGGCUGUUGUUCUUGAUUAAAUACUUGAAGAUGAUCUUGUUACUGAGUUACAGAAGUAUUUGGAAAAUUUUAUGAACUUGUAAGCUUCACUGCGACUUAAUCUCUUUUAACAAUCUCACCAUUUCGAGAAACAAAUCAGCUUUUUACAAUUUAUUUCCUUAGUGGACAGAUUUGACAAUAUUAUGCUUGUGGACAGAUUUGACAAUAUUAUGCUUUACCUGCUUAUUUAGGCAGAGACAUUUAAUACCUUCCUAACCAAGUUAGUACAUCAUCACCAACUUCAUUGAUCAAAUGAUAUUUUCGCGAUACUGUACAGAGAUGCGGAGAAAUAGCCGGUCACAUGUCUAGCUAAUGGGUCUAGCUGAUCAAUUCGAGCAAGUGAAACUUAAUUUGUUAUGCAGGUCACCUCGUUUCUUGUUUGAGAUAUGGGUAUUUAUUGGCGUGUGGGUGUUGAGUGGUUUUAAUUGAGUUUCUGAAUAACUAAAUUUUUACUGUUGGUUAGUUAAUAGACAAUACGUGGUUAGUUGGUUACAGAAUGAUAUCAUUUAUGUCAAUAAGAUUGGCUGCAGAUUGAUAACAUUGAAUAUUUUUUUAUUUCUUUUUGUGCUACAGAUUGUUACUGAUGCUCAUUAUGAGAAGAUGUUGGAAGUUUCAAAAUGCAUAAAUGUUACACACUACACCAACCCGUUGCCCUUUUUACAAGGAGAGCUAAGGGGCACCUCGAGCAAUCAUAGAGGGCCAAUCUUCUAUAUAAAAUGGAACAGAUAGGGUAAUAAUCUUCUUACUGGAAGUUCUGAUGGAACUGCUAUUGUGUGGCGGUGGCGAAUGAAUACCUUGAGACGGACUCAAAAAUUUGAAUUUCACUCUGAUUGAGUCCUGGAUGUUGAUUGGCGGGAUUGCGACACAUUUGCAACGAUCUCAGCUGACACCAAAAUCAACGCUUGCAAGGUUGGAGAGAAUCAUCCUGUUAAAACCUUUUUGGGGCAUAAGGUGCUGGUGCAAUAGAAGUUUGGGCUGGUUCCCUGCAUCAGGAUUAACUACGCAACAAGUUCAGGAAAUUGGUAUGUUAAAUCAGUUAUAAUUCAGCUCCGCUACUCCGACAUUUUCAUCUCAUUUUUCCAAGUUCAAUGAAGUAUUGAAAUGUAUGUCUAUCUUUGAUCUCCUGUGGAGAAUAUAAUAAGUUGUAGAUGUAAUCCAUAUUGGAAGAGAGAUUGUUAGGAUUUGUUGUUGGAUUCAAUGGAGCAGGUGCACAUUUUUGUAAAAAUACCAGAAUUUUGAAAUAAAAAUUUAUAAAUUUAUUUUAUUUCUGAGUAAA